Molecule: non-coding RNA, 68 nt
Organism: Podarcis lilfordi (Lilford's wall lizard)
Lineage: Eukaryota; Metazoa; Chordata; Lepidosauria; Squamata; Lacertidae
Source: the annotation of a GenBank genome assembly
AUGUGUCUCAGGGGCAGAGCAUGUGCUAUGUACAUAGAAGGUCCCAGGUUCAAUCCCUGGCAUCUCUG